This is a long non-coding RNA of Salvelinus fontinalis (brook trout), 305 nucleotides long. RefSeq lists it as uncharacterized. Lineage: Eukaryota; Metazoa; Chordata; Actinopteri; Salmoniformes; Salmonidae. The record is from RefSeq and is a predicted model, not a curated record. The transcript has 3 exons.
GGAGGAAUUCUGAGGAUUUUUCCAGAGGCCAAUGCACAGUUCGUCGACAUCGAACCCAAGUUCGACCGCCUCCUCUUCUUCUGGUCAGACCGGCGGAACCCCCAUGAGGUGCAGCCGGCAUACCACACCAGGUAUGCCAUAACAGUAUGGUAUUUUGAUGCCGAUGAACGAGCUCGGGCCAAGGAGAAAUAUCUAACAAGUAACCAUGGUUGACAGAGGAAGAACAAUGAUUCCAAGCACCAUCCUCCUUUUGAAGCUUCCAGUCUGUUAUUCGAACUCAAUCAGCAUGACAGGGUGAUCUCCAG